CAGUCGCCGCGGUAAUACGUAGGGUGCAAGCGUUAAUCGGAAUUACUGGGCGUAAAGCGUGCGCAGGCGGUUUGUUAAGACAGAUGUGAAAUCCCCGGGCUCAACCUGGGAACUGCAUUUGUGACUGGCAAGCUAGAGUGUGGCAGAGGGGGGUGGAAUUCCGCGUGUAGCAGUGAAAUGCGUAGAUAUGCGGAGGAACACCGAUGGCGAAGGCAGCCCCCUGGGCCAACAUUGACGCUCAUGCACGAAAGCGUGGGGAGCAAACAGGAUUAGAUACCCCAGUAGUCCCUGUCUCUUAUAC
This 301-nucleotide ribosomal RNA is filed under the name uncultured bacterium. RNAcentral's name for it is "partial 16S ribosomal RNA". It matches the Rfam family "Bacterial small subunit ribosomal RNA", at positions 509 to 807 of the family's 1533-position model. The record is from RNAcentral.